GUGCGGCCGACGACAAACCGUGGAUGGAGGCGGGGGACCCAACCGGUCCACCGAAGAAAUCAGGACCAGGAGCCUCGGCUCCUUGGGGUGAAGCCUGCUUAGCAGGCCGGGCAACCUCUCCAGCCCGAACCCGACAGCUGACCUCGCAGGCGUUGACGAGAGGACUG
This 167-nucleotide small RNA is filed under the name Mycolicibacterium llatzerense. RNAcentral's name for it is "Mycobacterium llatzerense c-di-AMP sequence". It matches the Rfam family "c-di-AMP riboswitch aptamer (ydaO/yuaA leader)". Rfam says of the family: This family represents a conserved RNA structure found upstream of the ydaO and yuaA genes in Bacillus subtilis and related genes in other bacteria. The ydaO/yuaA element is thought to act as a genetic "off" switch for the ydaO and yuaA genes in its native state. It is believed that the element may be triggered during osmotic shock leading to activation of ydaO, a predicted amino acid transporter gene, and members of the yuaA-yubG operon which code for KtrA and KtrB K+ transporters. Lineage: Bacteria; Bacillati; Actinomycetota; Actinomycetes; Mycobacteriales; Mycobacteriaceae. The record is from RNAcentral.